Molecule: long non-coding RNA, 822 nt
Filed under: Anser brachyrhynchus (Pink-footed goose)
Lineage: Eukaryota; Metazoa; Chordata; Aves; Anseriformes; Anatidae
Description: lncRNA (ENSABRG00000017621.1)
Source: RNAcentral
UGACCACCUUACUGCUACCCUGUACUUUGCAAAUUGCUUUAUUAUAAUUGCCAGAAGUAGGUGGGAAGACAGCAGCAGUGGAUACAGUGCUGAUUACAAACUCCUACAAGCUCUGGCAUUGAAUAUAUUUUGGAGCCCAAAGCAGCUACAAGAGCCUGUCUUUCCUGAACCACCUAAGGCAGAGCUUGCCAACACAGGCAAGGCAGGCUUGGAGGCAGACGCAAACACUCUGAUGUAACUGGAGUCUGAGUUGCUGCUGUUAGCAUGGCGUCAAGCCAAGCUCAUUAGACUUGCCAAGCGUCAGGCUUAUUAGCUCCAGCCCUGUACUGUGCUAAUGCAAUUGCACCGCUUUUAGGUGUAAGUUACUUCUGGCAUCCUGUGGCUCCGCGCAGAAGUGGCGCGUUGGACUCCCUCCUCACAAAAGGCAGGACAUUUGUCCUUGCUGAGACUACAGCUGUGCAUGCCCCAUGUAGACCCACCACCGCAGAUGUUUCCUCAGGAGAAAAAGAAGUCAGCUACCCAGGAAGGGUGACCUCUGCCCUUCCCUGCCUCUUGCUGUCUGUCACCUUCACUGGGAACUCACUAAGCUUUGCUCUGCAGGAAGCACAAUUAAAUGCUAACAUCUCCAUUGCACUCCCAUCAGGUGAGUCCACUCUGGAAAUUUAUUUGGUGGCCCAUGGAAUCAGACGGCGAGGCAGACAUUGUGACUGUAAUGCUGUAGCAUUUGAUACCCCUUUACAGUAAAAGUGUCGAAGAAUACAGGUGUCAUUUGGCCCAAAUUGUAAGCUGCCUCCGAGGUAGUUGUACCACAUGAUAAAAGCU